Molecule: ribosomal RNA, 422 nt
Filed under: uncultured Chlorobiota bacterium
Lineage: Bacteria; Pseudomonadati; Chlorobiota
Description: bacterial SSU rRNA
Rfam family: Bacterial small subunit ribosomal RNA
Source: RNAcentral
UGAGGAAUAUUGGUCAAUGGGAGCAAUCCUGAACCAGCAAUGCCGCGUGUGGGAUGACAGGGCUUCGCCUUGUAAACCACUGUCGGAUGGGACGAGAGGGAGCCUUGGGCUCCUGGGACGGUACCAUCAAAGGAAGGGUCGGCUAACUACGUGCCAGCAGCCGCGGUAAUACGUAGGACCCGAGCGUUGUCCGGAUUCACUGGGUAUAAAGGGUGCGUAGGCGGUCUUGUGCGUCAGAGGUGAAAUAUCCGGGCUUAACCCGGAGGGUGCCUUUGAUACGGCAGGACUUGAGUCCGAGAGAGGAUGAUGGAAUUCCUGGUGUAGCGGUGAAAUGCGUAGAUAUCAGGAGGAACACCGGUGGCGAAGGCGGUCAUCUGGCUCGGAACUGACGCUGAGGCACGAAAGCGCGGGGAUCAAACAGG